This 253-nucleotide ribosomal RNA is filed under the name uncultured bacterium. RNAcentral describes it as "partial 16S ribosomal RNA". It matches the Rfam family "Bacterial small subunit ribosomal RNA", at positions 524 to 776 of the family's 1533-position model. The record is from RNAcentral.
UACGGGGGGUGCAAGCGUUGUCCGGAUUUAUUGGGUUUAAAGGGUGCGUAGGCGGCUAUUUAAGUCAGUGGUGAAAUCCUGCAGCUUAACUGUAGAAUUGCCAUUGAUACUGGAUAGCUUGAGUACAGACGAGGUAGGCGGAAUUUAUGGUGUAGCGGUGAAAUGCAUAGAUACCAUAAAGAACACCUAUUGCGAAGGCAGCUUACUAGGCUGUAACUGACGCUGAGGCACGAAAGUGUGGGGAUCAAACAGG